Molecule: long non-coding RNA, 343 nt
Filed under: Malus domestica (apple)
Lineage: Eukaryota; Viridiplantae; Streptophyta; Magnoliopsida; Rosales; Rosaceae
Description: long non-coding RNA (MDOM_LNC009054)
Source: RNAcentral
UUGUCCCUGCUCGGGUUUUUGCCAUAGUCAUAGGUUUUUUAGUGAGACUUACUUCCUUAUGCUAGUUCCUACCUUAUUAAGAAUAACGUUGUUCCCAUAAUCAGUGUCAACGAGUUGACUUCCUCAACUUCUACAUAAUGCCGAAUCUACCUUGAGUGUGUUUACACACUCAAGGGGGAGUGUUGUAAACUUUCCUAGCUUAAGUGUGAUUGUGUAAAUCCUAGAUUAGAUUUUAUUCUAGUUAUUCUUUCCUAUAUGGACUUGUAUUCCUUAGGGAUGAAAGAUUUCUUCUCCUUCUUAUUAUUAUAAAUAAAGGCACUAUGUAAGGGAAAUAACACACACA